AAAUAAUUAGUGGGAAAGUUAGUGCAGAUUACACAGCAAACCAAGAAGCUUAGUUUCUUCUGGGUAAAGCUAGUGUUUUGUACGAUAAGGGAAGAAUCCUUGAAUUGGUUGACAAGAAAUUGGCAUCCAGUUACAACAGAAAGCAGGCUCUCACUGUUUUGCUGUUAGCAAUGAAGUGUGUUAAUCUGUCUCCUACUCUCAGGCCUAAAAUGUCCGAAGUCGUCAGUGUACUUGUAGGUGAGAAAAGAAUCGAUGAGAUUUCCGAAGGUGAUGCUCCAUCAGCAAAAAUUGUCCUUCCAGGGUGUUGGAAAUAGAACCAAUUUCUUAGCCAAUUGGUAACGUUAAGUUUGGUGAUGAAAAACUUCUCCCUCUUUUUUAUUUUGUAAUUA
Molecule: long non-coding RNA, 389 nt
Organism: Populus euphratica (Euphrates poplar)
Lineage: Eukaryota; Viridiplantae; Streptophyta; Magnoliopsida; Malpighiales; Salicaceae
Exons: 2
Source: RefSeq, a predicted model, not a curated record